AGGGGCUUGCUCCUUAAUUUAGUGGCGCACGGGUGAGUAACGCGUAGAUMAUCUGCCUGAUGAUCUGGGAUAACACUUYGAAAGGGGUGCUAAUACCGGAUAAGCCCACMGGAUCUUUGGAUCCAGCGGGAAAAGGGGGGGACCUUCGGGCCUUCUGUCAUCAGAUGAGUCUGCGUACCAUUAGCUAGUUGGUAGGGUAAUGGCCUACCAAGGCUACGAUGGUUAGCUGGUCUGAGAGGAUGAUCAGCCACACUGGAACUGRGGCACGGUCCRGACUCCUACGGGRGGCAGCAGUGGGGAAUUUUGCGCAAUGGGCGAAAGCCUGACGCAGCAACGCCGCGUGAGUGAUGAAGGCUUUCGGGUCGUAAAGCUCUGUCAAGGGGAAAGAAGUGUAUUGCAGCUAAUAUCUGCGAUACUUGACGG
This 423-nucleotide ribosomal RNA is filed under the name uncultured Geobacter sp. RNAcentral describes it as "bacterial SSU rRNA". It matches the Rfam family "Bacterial small subunit ribosomal RNA", at positions 74 to 475 of the family's 1533-position model. The record is from RNAcentral. RNAcentral also lists the same sequence under 1 other name. Lineage: Bacteria; Pseudomonadati; Thermodesulfobacteriota; Desulfuromonadia; Geobacterales; Geobacteraceae.